RNAcentral lists this ribosomal RNA (497 nucleotides) under uncultured bacterium. Its description in RNAcentral is "partial 16S ribosomal RNA". It matches the Rfam family "Bacterial small subunit ribosomal RNA", at positions 28 to 507 of the family's 1533-position model. The record is from RNAcentral.
GAUGAACGCUGGCGGCGUGCCUAAUACAUGCAAGUCGAGCGAACGGACGAGAAGCUUGCUUCUCUGAUGUUAGCGGCGGACGGGUGAGUAACACGUGGAUAACCUACCUAUAAGACUGGGAUAACUUCGGGAAACCGGAGCUAAUACCGGAUAAUAUUUUGAACCGCAUGGUUCAAAAGUGAAAGACGGUCUUGCUGUCACUUAUAGAUGGAUCCGCGCUGCAUUAGCUAGUUGGUAAGGUAACGGCUUACCAAGGCAACGAUGCAUAGCCGACCUGAGAGGCUGAUCGGCCACCCUGGAACUGAGACACGGUCCAGACUCCUACGGGAGGCAGCAGUAGCGAAUCUUCCGCAAUGGGCGAAAGCCUGACGGAGCAACGCCGCGUGAGUGAUGAAGGUCUUCGGAUCGUAAAACUCUGUUAUUAGGGAAGAACCUAUGUGUAAGUAACUGUGCACAUCUUGACGGUACCUAAUCAGAAAGCCACGGCUAACUACGUG